CGACAUCACCUGGGGUGAUGGCCGUGGUAAGAUCCUCCAGAACGGCCAACUGCUCAUCCUCUCCCUAGACAAAUCUUCCGGUUCUGGCUUCCAAUCAAAAAAAGAAUUCCUCUUUGGAAAGGUGGACAUGCAGCUCAAACUUGUCCCUGGCAACUCUGCUGGCACCGUCACUACCCUCUAUCUCUCCUCUCAAGGCAGCAACCAUGACGAGAUUGAUUUCGAGUUCCUCGGAAAUUCCACCGGUGAGCCCUACACCCUCCACACCAAU
Molecule: unclassified non-coding RNA, 268 nt
Filed under: Hevea brasiliensis (rubber tree)
Lineage: Eukaryota; Viridiplantae; Streptophyta; Magnoliopsida; Malpighiales; Euphorbiaceae
Source: RNAcentral